RNAcentral lists this ribosomal RNA (600 nucleotides) under uncultured marine bacterium. RNAcentral's name for it is "bacterial SSU rRNA". It matches the Rfam family "Bacterial small subunit ribosomal RNA", at positions 8 to 618 of the family's 1533-position model. The record is from RNAcentral.
AGAGUAUGAUCCUGGCUCAGAACGAACGCUGGCGGCGUGCCUAACACAUGCAAGUCGAACGAGAAAGUUUCCUUCGGGAAACCAGUAAAGUGGCGCAAGGGUGAGUAACACGUGAAUAAUCUACCUAUGAAUUCGGGAUAACUCGACGAAAGUUGUGCUAAUACCGGAUAAGACCACGUCUCUUAUGUGAUGUGGCCAAAGGAGUCUCAAACUUCGUUUAUAGAUGAGUUCGCGGACCAUUAGCUUGUUGGCGGGAUAACAGCCCACCAAGGCUACGAUGGUUAGCCGGCCUGAGAGGGUGAUCGGCCACACUGGAACUGAGACACGGUCCAGACUCCUACGGGAGGCAGCAGUGGGGAAUAUUGCGCAAUGGGCGAAAGCCUGACGCAGCAACGCCGCGUGAGGGAUGAAGGAUUUUGGUUCGUAAACCUCUGUCAAGUGGGAAGAAUAAUGACGGUACCACUAAAGGAAGCCCCGGCUAACUCCGUGCCAGCAGCCGCGGUAAUACGGAGGGGGCAAGCGUUGUUCGGAAUUAUUGGGCGUAAAGAGUAUGUAGGCGGCUAGAUAAGUCAGACGUGUAAGCCCAUGGCUCAACCAUGG